CUUUUCCAAGAGGCUGCCGAAGAUGGCGGAGGUGCAGGUCCUGGUGCUUGAUGGUCGAGGCCAUCUCCUGGGCCGCCUGGCGGCCAUCGUGGCUAAACAGGUACUGCUGGGCCGGAAGGUGGUGGUCGUACGCUGUGAAGGCAUCAACAUUUCUGGCAAUUUCUACAGAAACAAGUUGAAGUACCUGGCUUUCCUCCGCAAGCGGAUGAACACCAACCCUUCCCGAGGCCCCUACCACUUCCGGGCCCCCAGCCGCAUCUUCUGGCGGACCGUGCGAGGUAUGCUGCCCCACAAAACCAAGCGAGGCCAGGCCGCUCUGGACCGUCUCAAGGUGUUUGACGGCAUCCCACCGCCCUACGACAAGGUGAGCUGUGCCAAACCCCACAGGCAGCGGCCUUACCUGUGGCGUCUGUGAUGUUCCGCAACUACCUACAUUGUUUGAUCCUCAUGAAAGCAGCACUGGCUGAGACGCCAGUCCAGCCGACCUCCUUCCCUGUCUGUCCCUCCCGGGCUCUUAAGCCCCUCUCUUUCUCUAACAGAAAAAGCGGAUGGUGGUUCCUGCUGCCCUCAAGGUCGUGCGUCUGAAGCCUACAAGAAAGGUGAGUCCCAGCUUAUGCUGCACCAUCUACUUGGGAGAUUUCAGGCCUGCUGAGGGACCUGGGGACCCGGAGCCUGGCAGAUGAUGUCCUUAUCUCACGAUGGUCUGCGGAUGUCCCUGCGGGAAUGGC
RNAcentral lists this small RNA (728 nucleotides) under Pan troglodytes (chimpanzee). Its description in RNAcentral is "retained intron". The stretch from base 404 to 474 matches the Rfam family "Small nucleolar RNA SNORD34". Lineage: Eukaryota; Metazoa; Chordata; Mammalia; Primates; Hominidae. The record is from RNAcentral.